Molecule: long non-coding RNA, 5271 nt
Organism: Lates calcarifer (barramundi perch)
Lineage: Eukaryota; Metazoa; Chordata; Actinopteri; Centropomidae
Exons: 2
Source: RefSeq, a predicted model, not a curated record
GACAGAGCUGCCUUUGGGAAGUUCAGUCCUGACAGGACUUAUGAAAUCAGCUCUGAACUGAUCCAAACUUUGCAGAACCCACAGCUAGAUCUCACAAACUUUCUCACCAAGACUGGCUACUAUGGGCAUAUACAGGUGGUUCAAGAUAUAGAAGACUACCAAGAACCCUCAGCUCAACAAAUGUUCAACAUAGUGCAGACCUACAGUGGAUCACAGCUAGAGCAGAGCUAAACAAUGACUUACAGUUCUUCUCAGAAGCUUUAAACCAGCGACUAAAUAUCAACAUAGUGCCCUUCAGCGAUGGCCUGCAAGUUCACAGCAUUGUCAACAUAAGCCCUCACAACAGUGGACCUGUGGCUAACUACAGUGAAGUGCAACAUAAAUACAGGAGGCCUAAAGUCAACAAGAGACAAAGAGCUUUGAGGCAAAGUUACUGGGUGUCCGGGUGGAAGCAGCCUUAUAAAGGCUUUGAUGAAGAAGCCAAGAAAAGGAAUGGAGGUGGUGGUGUCAGCUUUGUCAAGAUUCUCCUCAGUAUCGGCGCGCUCUACUUGGCAGCCAAAUGUUUCAGCUGGCUGAGGAGCUGGUGGAAGGUGGACCUGAAUGAGAACAUCCUCAAAGGGAGGAUUCCAAGUUAUCAACAUACACAUAUCAUGCUGGAUUAUGUGUAUUAGGAUGUUGAGGAUAAGACUCUGGUAAUAUCAAGUAUUGCAUUUCUGAUAUUCUUAACAAUCUCAUAGUAGGGUACAUGCCAAAAUAGAGAUUCACAUCAAAGAUGAACUGUCAAAAUCGUAUAUUCAGCCUGUAUACUAUUUGAUACUAUUCCCCAUACUGGGAAAAAGAAAAAAAACAUUUUAACAAUCUUACACAGAUCUUAAGCUUAAAAACAGAGAAUUGAAAUAUAUGACUUCUUUUUGUCCAUUUUAAAACAGAAAGAUGUACAUACAGUGAUUGUCAAAUCUAAAAUGAAUCACUGUGAAGACUGAAAUACUGAUAUUUCAAAAUGAAAAAAAGCAAGUAAGCUGAAGGCCCUGGCUCCACCCAGUAAACGAAAUCAUGCAAUCCAAGAGAAACAACACCAAGUCUGCAUUGUCUUACUGGCAAAGAUUUUGUCUUUCUGAGGCAGCCAGUACUUUCAAAUCUUUGACUGUAUUAGGCCACUGUGGGCUGUGAUGCUCAUCCAUGAGCAGCCCACUUUAAUGACAAUAUUUGAUUUUUUAUAAAACAUUAGACGCUCUCCUCUUGAUAUUUUAUCUGUGAUAUUUACCGUAUCAGAAUACAUAGUAAUACAAAAUUAUGUAUAAUACAUUUUCAAGUUUACCUGACUGCUUUAAAUAAACUUAAUAAUAUAUUUUUGCACAGAAUGAAGAGAGUGGAUUUUGUCCUCAAUCACUCACAGUGGACAUGCAUUAGAAAGGGAUCUCUGAGUGGCCAGUAUCAACAGGAGCUACUCUCAGCCUCAGUCAUGAGACACUGAUCUUGUUACUGCCACUCAUGUAGACUGUUGCUCUGGCUGUUGUUGGUGGAACAUGGUUGGAUUGCUCUGUAGAACAGAAGAGGUCGCUGUGUUAGAGCUAAAGCUUCCAGGGUUUCUGGCAACAGCAGAUGGCAGCAUUGAUUAAGAGGCAAAUCACUGUCAGCAUGUUUUGUCCUCUUAGGGUAAUAACUCAGUUCAUACAGGAGUGAGACACAGACCAGGGUGCUCCUCUUGUUCGACUGCAAGCUGUUGUAGGUUUUGCUAGCUAGCUAUGCUGUCGUCCCACAAAUGUAUCCUCCCUGGAUGCCAGGAGUGUGCCGAACAGCUCUCCUCUAAGAGGUGGAUUAAGAAACCAUUUCACUCCAGCUAGUUUUAUAAAUUUUCAUCAGGGACAACAGGGAUUCACAGUAAUCAGCUGGUGAAUGAUGCCAAACUGAACCCCCCUGGGUAAUUGCACAUUUUUCUGUGGUGUGACAAACACCAGGCUUUACACAGACUUUAAUGGUUGCACGGUAGAUUACAAUAAACAUUGGUUGGUUUGCCUAGAUAUGAUAAUAUUCUGAUUUUAGGUGAGUUUGAUAUAUGUUUGUAGAUUUUUAAAAUUCAUCUGAAGCUAUUUGUGAUAAGGGCCACACCCUAGAUCUUAUCCACUAGUUGUUUACUAAGUGACGUCUUGCGUAGAAAUAAUUUUAGAACUGUAACAUUAUCAUUAACAGUUCAUAAUGAUAUUCUUUUAGCUGGCUAGAUUACUGUAGUUCAGUGUCUUAGCCAAUACAACCUCUUCACUUCUACUGGUCCAGAAUGCUUCAGCAAGACUGUUCACUUACAAACAACAACAAAAGAAUCCACAUAAUGUCAACACUGGCCACUUGUACAUUUUAGUCUUUUAGUCUUCAAAAGGUCCACACAGGUUUUUUGGAGUAGUGGUGUACUGGGCGCCAAUGUUUACCUAGAGUUUAGAUGUGCUAAUGGCUCCUGGGAUAAUACAGUAACCCCUCAGAUUUUUAAUAAACCGAAUCCUCUGUUUAACUUUGACUGCCUCAGUUGGGGGUAUUUAUACAUACAGUAGCCUACUUCAUUGAAAUAGUUUAGCUUAAGUAACCUUCACUGACUUGCACAUGACUCUUUUUUUAAAUCAAAUCUACAAAUAAAACAACCCUACUGUGCUCUCAUUGUGAUUACUCUUUGCUUUGAUGAUCCUUCAUGCCUGCACACAUACCACACAAAUGAUUCAACACACGUUCUCUGGUGCCUGUCAUUUUACAGAUUACAUUUUGUCAGGUUAAGAACUUGGCAGUAAAUUCUUAACUUUUUUGGUUUUAUCAAAUCAUAACCCUCCCUCAUCUUAAUGCUGCUCCACAAAGUAGCACUGUGUUGUUUGGCUUCUGCAAAAAGAAAAGCAAAAUCUUUUAUCAUGGAAUUCCUUUUGCUAUAAUUUCAAAACAAAGCACCAGAAGGCACAGCAAGUCAUAUUUCCUGCUGAAGAACACAGAAACAGCAGCUAAACACACACUGGUGAUGGCAGCAUGACACUAAAAACAGUGUAUGGGAACAAUGCUCAUUGAGUGUCACUGGGGGGUUGGGGAGAAGGCACUUGACUAACUGGUAUCCUGCUAGACAGGAGGAUUUCUCUGCAGGUCACCUAUCAGUAGAACUGCUGAAGCUUUUUGGAUGAGAGGAUAAACUUUUGAACUCCGUAGGGAACAGAUCAUUUAAUAAUUUAAUUGUGAUCUUCAGUGAGUGGCUGAGUUAUGACCAUGGGUGUAACUUCCUGUUACUGGACUGCUGCUGCCUUUCCUGCCCCUUCCAGUGUGUUUUAAGUGUGUGCAUUUUCUCUUAGCUUUCCAGUUGGAGCAGCUGCAUUCUACGGAAUAUUAAUAUAAAUGCCUUCAUGAAAACAAAUCUGUGCAAAAAGACACUUCUAACAGACAAAUCCUUCUGUUAAAUCAUUAUUUCUGAUACAUUAAAUAUGACACUUAGUCUGUACAUGUGCUUUUGAUGGGCUGUUACAUCAUUUUCUUUCAGCCCCAGCCCGGCUCCUCCAGUCUGCAUGCCGAAGUAUCCUUGGGCAAGAUACUGAACCCCAAAUUGCCUCCGAUGUGUGUGUUUCACAUCGGUGUGUGAAUGUGUGUGAAUGUGUUUAGAAAGCACAUUAAAUAUAGAAUAUGUGCUGUGUGAAUGUGUGUGAAUGGGGUGAAUGUGAUCUGUAGUGUAAAGCGCUUUGAGUGGUCGAAAAGACUAGAAAAGCGCUAUAUAAGUACAGUCCAUUUACAUUUACAGUACAAAUGAAUACAGUGAAAUUAUUUUUUUCCUGUCUAAUGUCAGUUUUACAUAGUUUUUUAUGCCUCCAUGCUGGGAACAGCAGUGGCCAUGAGCAUUAUGUUUUCAGGCUGACCAAAAAUGUAUUCAGUCACCACAGUUUCAGGGUGGGCACCCAAGAUCAGUGUCACCGAUUCAGUAUCUGACCAAAUGUUAACUACGGCCACAGUCUCCCUCUCUGUUGCUGAGUUAUGGUGUUGACUAAUGAACCAAAAUAGUGUUUUUGCAGAAGAUUACAAUGUCAAAGUGAAGUUAACCUUUGACCUUUUUGAAUAUAAAAUGUCAUCAUUACAUCAUUUCAUCCUGUUAGACAUUUAUAUGAAAUUUCAUAAUAAGAGCAUGAGUUACGACCAGAAAACAUGUUUUGUGAGGUUGACCUUUGACCACUAAAAUCCAACUAAUAUAUCCUUGAGUCCAAAUGAACGUUUAUACCAAAUUAGAUAUUGCCUUCAUGAGAGGGGGAUAGAUGGACAUCCCAAAAACAUAAUGCCACAGCUGUUACAGGAAUGGAGAAAAAAAAUGUCAUUCAAGGGAUAUUGCAUUACAGAAAAUGUAGGACAUUUACUAAAAUAAAGCCCAGCCAUAAUUAUCUAUGAGGCAGCAAUCCGAAUUCAGCCACAGUUUAUGUGCUACAGUUCUUCAACAAGACUAGGCCAACAAAGAAAAACACUUUCACUUUAAUUGAAUAAUAAUUUAAUAAUUCCUUUAAAUUACUGAAACUUUUUUAAGCUUGUUUUGGGUGUGAAAGAUCUAGGGCAAAAUGGCAACUACCUGCUUUGCUGACUGCCACACAAUCCUUUCUAAUGCAACCAGCAGGGGUUGCCAAAGUCAAAGCUUUUAAAAACCUGCCCCUGUAAACUUUGUACUACUGGAUGUCUAUGUGCAGCAGCUCCAGUGUUCACCUUUUGUCAUAAUUUUUGGAUUAAGAUUUAAAGUUGAUCAAAAUAAAACAGAGCAAUAUGCCUUUAAUAGACUGUAAGAACGGGUUUACAGAGAAUCCUGAGUGAAAAAACUAGUAGACAAUGCAACCCAUUGUCCACUGUCCUCCUUCCUAUGAAUGAAAGCCAUUUUUUACAGCACAGUAUCAGUUGCACCUGCUGGCUAACUGAUGCUAACUGACAUCUGCACAGGAGAUAGUUGACAGGAACAGAGAGGUCAAAAAGUAUUUUGUGUCAUAAAACAAAGGAAAUGUUAGUUAACAGCACACAAGGGCUCUUUUUUGCAUGUGGCUAUAGUAAAUUGUAAAUAUAGUGUCCAGUGUCCUGUGGCAUAGUUAGAAAAAUGAGGAAGGCUUUUCUUUAGAGAAAAGUACACAGUGGUUCAAACACAAAUACCUGUACACCUGAAAACGGCUGACCUUGAAAUGUGUGGGCCUUGAACUUCUCACAGCAGCCAUUAAUAAUGUGAGACUGUCAUAAAGAAAUGCAUUACAACAAAAGCUAGAUAAAUUUAGACAAAUAAAAAAACAAAAUCAAAAA